Molecule: unclassified non-coding RNA, 1569 nt
Filed under: Cyanidioschyzon merolae strain 10D
Lineage: Eukaryota; Rhodophyta; Bangiophyceae; Cyanidiales; Cyanidiaceae
Description: hypothetical transcript
Source: RNAcentral
AAGUCUGGAAGCUACCAAUGCUGUGAAGCCACGGGGUUCCUUGGGUGGUGAAUGAGCUCGACACAGCGCCUAGUGGUCCUUGAACUGUAUCGGAAGCUACUCCGGGCGGCAAGUCACUAUCCCUCCAUCCGACGCCAGGCUGUAUACCAAGCUAUAAGGGAGGAGUUUCGGCGAAACCGUCACCUAGACCCAAAGGCAACCGAAGAGCAGCUUCGACUCGCGGUAUGCGAGCUCCAAAGGCUCUCAGUCUGGCGUGGAACUCGCGACGCCGAGGACCCCUCAAAACCUAGCAAGCAGAAAGACUGGUUCGUUCAACUGUGAGUGAGCAGGCAUAAUAGACCUGGCUCUCUUGCGGAAACUUUCCUCGGUACGGGACGUUGCCCUGGAGGUUUAACGCAGCACGAGCACUGGGCACAAGUAUGGAAUGCGUCUUUACAGCGGCUCGCUUUCCCGUGUCGAGCGGGCAGGCGGGAAAAAAGCCGUUCGCACUUGCACGAAAAGCGUGUGUGUAGCGGCUUGCUUUCGUAUUCCAGACCGACGGUUGGAAAAAGUAGCCAAUCGCAGAAACACGGAAAAGCGUUUGAAUAGCGGCUCGCUUUACGAUAUCAGUUAAAGAGUCCGUCACGCUGACAGACAAUAGAGUAGCCAGUGGAGCUUGCACUGAACCGACGAAUACCCGAGUGCUUGGUUUCACCGAGCGCAUUGCGACUGCAAACCGCUAUCUCUCCCGUCCGAAUCUAUCCACGGAAAGCGCUAGCCUUGGCAUCUUCAGCAGGGAUAUUCAACCAACAGCGGAUAGCGAGUUGCUUUCAGCUCAAGAAAGCUAUGAUGGAAGCAUCUGGAACUAUUGGCUAUCCCUUGGCAAGUUUUACCAUCAUCACCGCUGACGAGCAUCGGCGAGCGCGCUUUAACGAGUUCGAGCAAGCGCCAGUGCUUCCGAUCCAGGAGCUCAAGGCAUACGCAGCUCUCCAGAGCUGAACCAGUUAUCAAAAGAAGCAGGUCGUCAUGUAGAAGAAAAUUUCGUAUCGGAUGUAGACGCUUCGUCACACACAGGCACGGUGGCGUCAAUGUAUGCUCGGAGCAAGCUUUGCACUCUUGCAUGCCCUGAAUACAACAGCGACGACGAUAACGACGAGGAAUGGAGCCAGAUGCUGUGUGCCUCUGCUGAUGAUUUGCAGUAUUAGCAAAUAUAGCAGAUACAAACGCCUCGGUCGUUGCAUUCAGAUACCCGGAAGAAUAUGCAGCAUAUCCGCUGUGUUCAUCUUCUCGCGACGCGGUUGCGCCGUCGCGAGAACCCGCCGUACACCGUGGGAUACGCGGUCGCCUCGCGCCGCACCGGGACAGCAGCGCACAUACCUUCAACGGUAUAAUGCGUCUCAGAAAGAGGCGAUAUAAUCGAAAUUUCGAGCGAUGCCGGGUACCUCUGAAGCAUGCGAUAUAUUCGGAAGACUUAGGGAAAGAGGCGGUCGAGGAUCUCCUGAGCGUUGGACAUGCGUCCGCCGGGAUUCUGGCGCAUGUACUCUUGCAGAAUGAAGAUGGCUCCUGCGCGCGUCACGUCAGUAAACUCCA